This 60-nucleotide microRNA precursor is filed under the name Tigriopus californicus. RNAcentral's name for it is "microRNA mir-67". It matches the Rfam family "mir-67 microRNA precursor family", at positions 1 to 68 of the family's 84-position model. Lineage: Eukaryota; Metazoa; Arthropoda; Copepoda; Harpacticoida; Harpacticidae. The record is from RNAcentral.
GACUCACUCAACUUGGCUGUGAUUACUUGGGGUGGUGUCACAACCUCCUUGAGUGAGUGA